UAUACACAAGACCAACAGAACGGAAUCGCCGAAUCGGUGAUGACGGGAGAGCAGUGAAUCCCAGUGAUGUUGAGUUUAAAAAAGAAAAAUAAUUUUGGAAACUUUUUCGGUGAGCUUGAGAGGAUGGAUGCACAAAACAGAUUUGCUAUGAUUUUCCCUGGAUUUAUAGACGACGAAAUUCCCCGCUCACCGACCAACAUCGAUUCCAGACGCAUUUGCAGAGAUUUCAAGUUAAGAGAAAGCGAUCGCAUGCCUGCAGAUGGUAAACCAAAAAUCCACAGUUAUUCUCAUAAAAAUUGGAAGAGAAACAGCCUGAUCAUGGGCGAUCGAUGAGGAAAAUAUACAUGGGGAGAUGAAGCAUCGGUCAUUUGUUUUUAUUUUGAAAGAAAUCUAUGAUUUGGUCGUCGUUCUUAUCCUUCAAAUUGUCAACAUAUCUGUUUUCCUUUUUUUGGAUAGGUUUCCGCAGUUUAUGUCGUAGUUUCGAUCAUCCUCUUCAGUUUUGAGUACUACUCGAACUCCGUAUGAUAUUAUUCUGCCCGGUGUAGACUGAAACUCCUCUGAAAUUACAAGUUUUGGCUCAAGGCUAAACUCGUUGAAGUCUACGUUACUUGGAACGUGGAAGAUGAACAUGUGAUGUGCUGAGAAUGCCUCUUUGUCAUUGCUGCUACGAGUACUCUCCGGUGGGAGAACGAAAUCGGGCUUGAGGUCAAUUCGGUAGGACUGGUUAUCUUCCUGUUUACAGCUAUAAGAAGAUGACGAGAGCUUUAUGUGAUAAGGACUCUGACAAGCAAUUAUGAUACAGGCAUCAAAACCCACAAACUCAGAGGCAUGCCAUAUUGGGGGUAUGCUGAUUUCUCUGGAAUAUUCCCUUGCUUGAUAGUCGAAGUAGAUGGGCACUCUACUUCCAGAUAAGCAAGCAAAACGCUGAGGCACCUAUUAAGAUCAAAUAUAAAAGAAAAGAUAUGGAACUGGAAUCGAUGUAUGAAUUGAGCAAGGGAGAAACACAAGGGAAGAAAGUUCACCUCUUCCUUUCGUCCACAUCUCAGAAAUCGAUCCAUCAGAUUCGCAACUUCAUUCAAUUUGGGGCAGUAGCUAAGAUCAACGUGUUUUAUGGAAUGAUCCAAGGGAAGGUGAAUAAUUUCCAGGGAAGUGCAGCCACGUGCAUAGAGAGAUGUAAGGUUUGGUGGAAGCUGUACCAUUGACUUGAGUUUCUUGCAGUCAUUGAGGCAGAGAGUAUUCAACAGCCUAAGGAAUCUGAUAGUUACAGGCAUCGUCACCAUAUCAUUUCCGCUGAGGUCUAAGUAUGUUAAAUUGGUGCAAUGACUAAACGUAUAUGACAAUUCAAAAACAUCAUUGCAGUUGUCAAGCCAAAGCUCAGCUAAGCGGUAUCCACGCUCAUCUUUUCUGGCAGCUGAAUGUCCUAGUGGACUUUGGAGAAGUAUACAGUUAGAAAGUUUGAGUGUCUCCAGUUGAGGUAGUUUUGGUAGUGUUUGAAGUUUGAGGCAGUUGCAAAGCCUGAGAGAUUUCAUACUAGAAAGAUUUUCCAUAUCUGUGGGUAGGCAUGUGAAAUCAUUUCCGCUGAGGUCCAGUUUUUGUAGGACCUGCAAAAGGCCAAUGUCAUCUGGGAUGCUUUCUAUGUUUAGGUUUAUGAGAUUUAACUCGGUUAACCAGAGGAAAUCUGAAAAGCUAUAACACUGGAAAGAGGCACUGUCUUUACGGUAGAUGAACUGCAUGAUGUCGAGUGAUUUAAAUCCGUAAAACUCAGACAUGAGCUUAGGCGUCUUUUGUACUUGCUUCAGAAAUUUGUUAGGGGUCCAUUGCUCGGAACUAAAGCAGAGGUGGUCUGCCUUUCCUCGGAGAUGUGACAACCAAAAAUUUAAUUUGCCAUGGAUGGCUAGACUCGUAAGAGAGUUCAGUGUAACUACAGCAUCUGGGAAACUCAAUGAAGCUUGCCGAAAAAGCCCUGGGCUACGUUUUUGAAGGGCAGGCAAUUCUCCUAUAAUCAUCUGAAGAUUGAUGAGGCGAUCACAGUGGGAUACAUCAAGUUUCUUCAGUGAAGGUAAGCUACCAAUUGUUUCCGGGAUUUGCUCCAACCUCGUGCAACCUUUAGCAAUCAGCUCCUCAAGCUUUGUUGCCCUUGAAAGAUCUGGAAGUUUGGUCAGAUUCUUAGAUCCAGUGACAUCUAGCAUCCUUAACUCCAAGAGCGACUGAAUAUCAUACAACAGAAAGGACAGUUUGGAUGGCGUUGGUGACAUUCUAAAUUUGUAAACGCUGAGAGUUGAAAACUGAAAAGCAAACUACAAGUUUCGUUUAUAGCUUACCAUUUUUCCAUCCCACAGGUUCUCCAGAUUGCUGUAACGCAGAUGAAGUUCAACAAGACGACUCAGAGGAAAUGUGGGAAGCAAGGUUGUUAAUGGAUAUGCGUCCCAAUGCAAUAGCCUAAGGCUGCGUGGAAGUACCAUACGAUUCUUUGAAUUGAUAUUCAGCUUGGACUCUCUAUCAUUUAAGUGUUUGAAGAAUUUGAGAAAUAUGAGAUUUUCCAUCUGCUCAAAAGCACUCCCAUCUAUGGAUGCUGCUCGGGGCAAUUCACACAUAUGUAGUGUCAUGCCUUGGAUUCUCUCUGUCCCCUGAUGAUUGAAUGUCAGAUUUACUUAGCAUACACAAAUAAAAGCACAAGAAGAAACCAUAUAAGACAAGUCCUAUGGAAGAAUAAAAAACAUGUCGUUCCUAGAAUACUUACUGUUUUGCUUUCCAGUACGCCAUAACUGUUAUGAGGAUCCCACAAAAUUCUUUGUUGUCGAGAGAGAAGGGUAGAAACACGGGAGACUGGUUCUCCAUUGAAAAGACAUGCGACCCUAAUGAAAAUGGUCUUGUCUCGUAGGUCCAGAUUGGUAUAGCUACUUCUUAAAAUAUCCAUGAUAUUCUGGUGAGGAGCUGUUUCAAGCGUGUCUAUUGCAUCUUCCCACUCGUCUAUAGAGGUCGCUCCACGGAGAAAUGAACCGAAAGCUACCAGGGCUAAAGGAAGACCUUGAGCGAGCUGAGAUGCUCGAAUCGCAAAACGUUCAUAUCCAUCAAGUGAAUCUAGCAAUCUUCUGUCACGUGUGGUUAUAAUGAUUCGGCUCCCUGGACCAAACCAGCUAGCCUCCUUUGCCAAGGCAUGUAACUGCUCCACUUUAUCAACACCAUCAAGCACAAAGAGAACCUUGAGGGUUCCAAGCCUUGACCGAAUAAGGUUUGCACCGUUUUGGAUGCUCAUCAAGGCCACUCGUUUUGUACUUAGAAUAUCGCAGAGAAGUUGUUGUUGUAUACAUUUUAGAUCAACUUUCUUACAGAUUUGGCCGACAUCUUCAAUGAAAGAAUGAGCUGGAAA
This 3370-nucleotide long non-coding RNA is filed under the name Arabidopsis thaliana (thale cress). RNAcentral's name for it is "potential natural antisense gene, locus overlaps with AT5G48770 (AT5G48775)". Lineage: Eukaryota; Viridiplantae; Streptophyta; Magnoliopsida; Brassicales; Brassicaceae. The record is from RNAcentral.